Molecule: long non-coding RNA, 1090 nt
Organism: Siniperca chuatsi (mandarin fish)
Lineage: Eukaryota; Metazoa; Chordata; Actinopteri; Centrarchiformes; Sinipercidae
Exons: 3
Source: RefSeq, a predicted model, not a curated record
CUUCAAAAGGACUACCAUCUGAGAAGAAUAAAUAUAAAAAAAUACUGCUGGGUUACUUUUACAGGUAAACUGAGACCUUUGAAUGUUUAAUUACACAUUUAUUAGUCUAUCACAGAAAAAAACAGUUAAAGGCAACAGUUCAUUCUGGGUAAGGCGUGCCCCUGGAGGGUCGGGAGAGGGGGCGAGGUGCAACAAGGGGAUGAAAACGUGAGGGCGGUAACAUAGGGGCAAUAACUGGAAGACAGGUUCAAGGCAGUCUGCGCAAACAGUUAGCAGUUGUUGGGACAGUUGUUGACCUUUGUUGGGACUGUUGCCGGCAGGUGUUGGGACAGGUGUUGGGACAGGUGUUGGGGCAGGUGUUGGGGCAGGUGUUGGGGCAGGUGUUGGGACUGUUGCCGGCAGGUGCUGGGACUGUUGCUGGCAGGUGUUGGGACAGGUGUUGGGGCAGGUGUUGGGACUGUUGCCGGCAGGUGCUGGGACAGGUGUUGGGGCAGGUGUUGGGACUGUUGCUGGCAGGUGUUGGGGCAGGUGUUGGGACUGUUGCUGGCCGGUGUUGGGACAAGUGUUGGGACUGUUGUCAGGACACGUGUUGGGACAGGUGUCAGGAUUGUUGUCGGUUGGUGUUGGGACAGGCGUUGGGUGAGAUGUCGGCAGCCGUUGGGACUGUUGCUGGCAGGUGUUGGGACAGGUGUUGGGUGAGAUGUCGGCAGCCAUUGGGACUGUUGCUGGCAGGUGUUGGGACAGGUGUUGGGGCAGGUGUUGGGACUGUUGCUGGCCAGUGUUGGGACUGUUGUCAGGACAGGUGUUGGGACAGGAGUUGGGACUGUUGUCGGCUGGUGUUGGGACAGGUGUUUGGACUGUUGUUGGCAGGUGUUGGGACUGUCUCCGGCAGGUGUUGGGGCUGUUGUCAGGACAGGUGUUGGGACUGUUGCCGGCAGGUGUUGGGGCUGUUGCCGGCAGGGGUUGGGGCUGUUGCCGGCAGGGGUUGGGGCUGUUGCCGGCAGGGGUUGGGACUGUGGCCGGCACGUGUUGGCAGUAGGGGGCCAGUUAAUAGCAGGUAAAUCUAAGUAGGAUAAAACAGGUGUAAAAG